Peromyscus leucopus (white-footed mouse) is the source of this 520-nucleotide long non-coding RNA. RefSeq lists it as uncharacterized. The transcript has 2 exons. The record is from RefSeq and is a predicted model, not a curated record. NCBI's taxonomy places the organism in Eukaryota, Metazoa, Chordata, Mammalia, Rodentia, Cricetidae.
UGGACCAUUCUGGUGGGAAUUCUGAGAGAGUAGAGGACAAACUCAUGAGAAUUCACAGAGGAAUACAGAUGCUACUGAAAGCUGGACUAGGAGACAUUUAGGCUACACUCUGGCAAAGAAUCCAGAUAGUCUCAGCCCUUGUCUGAAGCUUGAGUGAAGUUGAAUUCAAAAGGAAUGCAUCAAUGGCAUGGUGGAGGCAAUCUCAAGGCAGGCUAGCCUUCAAGCUACUGCUCACUAUUCCUUUCCAGGUGCACAAUAAAAGACAGCAACAAAUGGAGCAAAAUGACAUUGGAGGAUGAAGGGCAAAGGAAGGUGAACAACAUGAAGCAGAUGAUGGAAUGGACCAAGACCCCCUGUAUUAGCUUGUGCCAUUGUGGUGAGGCAGCAAAAAGUGAAUUCCUUUGCUGGGAAGUGAUGCUGCUAGCUGUUCCAUGAUGGAGCCAAGAGUUUAGUGACCAAUCAUCCCGUAAUGUAUUCUCACUCUCUCUUGUAUUUAAAUACAACACAAGUGCUGUCAUCA